This 254-nucleotide ribosomal RNA is filed under the name uncultured bacterium. RNAcentral describes it as "partial 16S ribosomal RNA". It matches the Rfam family "Bacterial small subunit ribosomal RNA", at positions 524 to 776 of the family's 1533-position model. The record is from RNAcentral.
UACGUAGGCGACAAGCGUUGUCCGGAUUUACUGGGCGUAAAGAGCGCGCAGGCGGUCGAUCAAGUCGCGUGUGAAAGCCCCCGGCUCAACUGGGGAGGGUCACGCGAUACUGGUCGACUCGAAGGCAGGAGAGGGUAGUGGAAUUCCCGGUGUAGUGGUGAAAUGCGUAGAUAUCGGGAGGAACACCAGUGGCGAAGGCGACUACCUGGCCUGUUUCUUGACGCUGAGGCGCGAAAGCUAGGGGAGCAAACGGG